AUUUGAGGGGGGCAAAUUAAUUAAUUUAUAAUUAAUAAAAGAAUUUUUAUAAUUAAAAUAUUUAAUGGGGGUUAAAGUAUUUUAAUAGAAAAAAUUGAAAAAUUUAUAGUAAAUUAGUAUUGUGGGAGAAUUUUGAAAUAUUUUGAAAUAUAUAAAUUAUUUUAAAGUAAUUUUUAUUUAAUGUAUCUUGUGUAUCAGAGUUUAUUAAAAAAAAUUUUUAGUAAAAAAUUUCUCGAAUUUAAAAGAGAUAAUUAAUUAAUAAAGUUAUUGUAGCAUAAAUAUUUUAAAUAAUUAAUUGGAAAUGAUAUGUUAAUCGUUUUUAAAUAUAUCUAGUUUUUUUAGAAAAAAAUUUAAUUUUAAAAUUUUAAUAAAAAAAAAAUUCAUUAAUAAAUUUUUUUUUUUAAAAUUUUUAUAUUUUAAGGGAUAAGCUUUAAAUUAAAAUUUAUAUAAUAAUUUUUAAUUAUAAAUUGAAAAUUUUAUAAUUUAUAUUGUUAAUAAAUUUUAUUUUAUUAUAAAUAAUUUCAAGUUUAAUAAAAUUUUAAAUUUAAUUUAUAUUUUUAUGAAAAAAUAAAUUUUUAAUUAAUAAAAAUUAGUUAUAAUGAUAAAAUUAGUAUAUUUAUAAAUUAAAUAUAAUUUUAAUAAUUUAAAAUUAAAUAAAAGGAAUUCGGCAAAUAUUUAUAUUCACUUGUUUAUCAAAAACAUGUCUUUUUGAAAAUUAUUUAAAGUCUAAUCUGCCCACUGAUUUAAUAUUAAAGGGCUGCAGUAUUUUGACUGUACAAAGGUAGCAUAAUCAGUAGUCAUUUAAUUGAUGACUUGUAUGAAAGAUUGGAUGAAAUAUAAACUGUCUCUUAUUUUAAAAAUUAGAAUUUAAUUUUUCAAUUAAAAAGUUGAAAUAUAAUAAAAAGACGAGAAGACCCUAUAGAGUUUAAUAUUUAUUUUUAAUUGAUAUUAUUUGUAAAAUUAAAAUUAAAAUUAAUAAAAAUAUUUUGUUGGGGUGAUAAAAAAAUAAAAAUAACUUUUUUUAUUUAAAAACAUAAAUAAGUGAAUAAAUGAUCCAAUAUUAUUGAUUAAAAGAAAAAAUUACCUUAGGGAUAACAGCGUAAUUUUUUUUUUUAGUUCAAAUAAAAAAAAAAGUUUGCGACCUCGAUGUUGGAUUAAGAUAAAAUUUAAAUGCAAAAGUUUAAAAUUUUGAUCUGUUCGAUCAUUAAAAUCUUACAUGAUCUGAGUUCAAACCGGUGUGAGCCAGGUUGGUUUCUAUCUUUUAUAAAUUUUUAUAUUUUAGUACGAAAGGAAUAAAUAUUAAAAUUAAAUUUAUUUAAUUGAAUAUUACUAAU
This 1334-nucleotide ribosomal RNA is filed under the name Phalera assimilis. RNAcentral describes it as "16S ribosomal RNA". Lineage: Eukaryota; Metazoa; Arthropoda; Insecta; Lepidoptera; Notodontidae. The record is from RNAcentral.